UACAGAGGGUGCAAGCGUUACUCGGAAUUACUGGGCGUAAAGCGUGCGUAGCCGGUUAUGUAAGUCGGGUGUGAAAGCCCCGGGCUCAACCUGGGAAUGCCAUUCGAGACUGCAUAGCUAGGGUGCGGAAGAGGGAAGCGGAAUUUCCGGUGUAGCGGUGAAAUGCGUAGAUAUCGGAAGGAACACCAGUGGCGAAAGCGGCUUCCUGGUCCAGCACCGACGUUCAGGCACGAAAGCGUGGGGAGCAAACAGG
This 253-nucleotide ribosomal RNA is filed under the name uncultured bacterium. Its description in RNAcentral is "partial 16S ribosomal RNA". It matches the Rfam family "Bacterial small subunit ribosomal RNA", at positions 524 to 776 of the family's 1533-position model. The record is from RNAcentral.